CCUCAAAGAUGAUGAGGUUAAUAGGUUCGAGGUGGAAGCAUGGUGACAUGUGGAGCUGACGAAUACUAAUCGAUCGAAGACUUAAUCAAAUU
RNAcentral lists this ribosomal RNA (92 nucleotides) under Staphylococcus aureus. RNAcentral describes it as "partial 23S ribosomal RNA". It matches the Rfam family "Bacterial large subunit ribosomal RNA", at positions 2836 to 2925 of the family's 2925-position model. The record is from RNAcentral. Lineage: Bacteria; Bacillati; Bacillota; Bacilli; Caryophanales; Staphylococcaceae.